UACGUAGGGGGCAAGCGUUGUCCGGAAUCAUUGGGCGUAAAGCGCGUGUAGGCGGUUCGGUAAGUCGGCUGUGAAAGCCCCGGGCUCAACCUGGGAAUGGCGAUGGAUACUGGCUCGCUAGAGUGCGGUAGAGGAGAGUGGAAUUCCCGGUGUAGCAGUGAAAUGCGUAGAGAUCGGGAGGAACAUCAGUUGCGAAGGCGGCUCUCUGGACCAGCACUGACACUGAGGCACGAAAGCGUGGGGAGCAAACAGG
This 253-nucleotide ribosomal RNA is filed under the name uncultured bacterium. Its description in RNAcentral is "partial 16S ribosomal RNA". It matches the Rfam family "Bacterial small subunit ribosomal RNA", at positions 524 to 776 of the family's 1533-position model. The record is from RNAcentral.